RNAcentral lists this unclassified non-coding RNA (237 nucleotides) under Hevea brasiliensis (rubber tree). Lineage: Eukaryota; Viridiplantae; Streptophyta; Magnoliopsida; Malpighiales; Euphorbiaceae. The record is from RNAcentral.
AAAGUAACCAAGCUCAGCUCUAUGGUUGAGAUGCAUGUUAACCCAAGGUAAUGUCUGGCUUGUUUAAACUUUUGUUUUAGAGAUGUGUUUGUUGAGAGUUGUAUGUGAGCAUUUCUAGACUGCCACGAUUCGGCUCUUUGUUUUCUGUGUUGUUUUAAGAGGGAUAACUUUCGAUGAAGCGCGGAUUAAAAGCUUCAUGGAUCUGCAAGAUAAGCUCCACCAAAACUUGUGCCGGAG